Molecule: small nuclear RNA, 197 nt
Organism: Callorhinus ursinus (northern fur seal)
Lineage: Eukaryota; Metazoa; Chordata; Mammalia; Carnivora; Otariidae
Product: U2 spliceosomal RNA
Source: RefSeq, a predicted model, not a curated record
AUCCCUUCUCAGCCCUUUGGCUAAGAUCAAGUGUAGUAUCUGUUCUUAGCGGUUUAAUCAUAAUCUGGGUAAGAAACAAGUCACACAAUGUAGAUUUCACAAAGGGAGGGACACAUUCUUCAAUAUCUUCGGUGAGCACCAGAGAGCUAGAGUCAAGAUACUAAUUAUAGCACUGACAAUGUGUCCUUGGAAUCAUU